GCUAAGGCCCUGAGGCAGGUGUGCUUGGCUGGUUUGAAGAAGAGCAAGGACACUGGGGUUGGGGGUGUCACAAGCGGCAAGGCAGCAGGAGCCAGGCCACUGUGGGCUUUGUGGGCCCUGCUAAGGACUUUUGCUUUCGGAUGUAGUUUUCAACAGAAGGGUGACCUGAUUUGCCCCACAGCAUAACGGUACCGGCCACUGGGCGGAAGGCAGGCUGGCGGGGACGCGGGCAGAAGUACAGGAGCCCGAAGCAGGGCGCUGCGCGAACCCUGGCCAGUGUCCCCAAGGCUUGGGCCAGGUGGGGGCGAUGGCGGCGGGAGAGCAGCCCGACCCCAGCCUGACUCCGACUGCGCAUGUGCCGGAGGCCGACAGGGGGCCCUGAGGCAGCAGGAGGACGAGCACGAGGCCGGGGUUUGGCCGCGACCGCCCAUCCGGGAACAGAUGACCCGGGCAAACGUGGAAAUGAAGGCAAUACAAAGAUGGGAGAUGCUGGAAGUCACCUGGUUUGUGAUAUAAUUGAGAUUAUUCGAUAAGCAUUCCCUGUGAUGUUUGAGGUCCAGGAACUCAUCUGCUGUCCUGCUGCUUUAGAAACGUAACUUUGAUAAACAUUAAACACUGUAAUCUUUAAGGUGUAACCUUGACUUUUUAAAAACUGCUUU
Molecule: long non-coding RNA, 659 nt
Filed under: Chinchilla lanigera (long-tailed chinchilla)
Lineage: Eukaryota; Metazoa; Chordata; Mammalia; Rodentia; Chinchillidae
Description: lncRNA (ENSCLAG00000024444.1)
Source: RNAcentral